AAUGAAGAGAAAAAGGGAGAGAAAGAACCGUGAGAGAGGAAGAGCAAAGAGAAUGAUUUUCCUGCACUUUGAGGAAGGAAAAAGAGAGUUUUUGCUGCAAUUUUGGAGGAAGAAGAAAGCUGAAAAUUUUGAGAAAAAUUGGAGCUAUUUUUGCCAAUUUGUGCAAAAAAAUUGGAGCUGUUUGCUGCCAAUUUGUGCAAAAAAUUGGACAGCUUUGUGCUGCCAAAAUUGAGGAGUUUGUUGCUGGAAAUUGAGCUAGAAAUCUGCCGAUUGUAGAGCAGAAAAUGGAAGCAAAAAGGGUGAGAAAAUGAGGUUUUUGGUGACCGAUUUUGAGAGGAAAGGAAGAGAGGAAGCCAUGGUGGUGAAGAAAGGAAACCACGGUGGUGAAGGGAAGCCACGGGCUGGAAAGAAAAAAGAAGAAGAAACAUGGAAGAGAGAAAAAGAAAGAAAAAGAAAAAAAAAGAAAAGAAAUAGAAAAUAAAUGGGCAUGACCCAAUGGAAAAUAAGUGGGCAUGACCCAAUAAAAAAUAAGUGGGCAUGGCCUAAUAGGAAAUAAAAAUAAAUGGGCUUAGCCUAAAUAGGAAAAAUGGAGAAGCCCAUGGAAAGGGCCCAAAGGUCAUAAAGAAAUGAAAAAGGCCUAAUGGAAAGUUUGUCGUGGAGGCGUGCCGAACGAAGUAUGUGACCGA
This is a non-coding RNA of Theobroma cacao (cacao), 686 nucleotides long. NCBI's taxonomy places the organism in Eukaryota, Viridiplantae, Streptophyta, Magnoliopsida, Malvales, Malvaceae. The record is from RefSeq and is a predicted model, not a curated record.